UGGGGAAUAUUGGACAAUGGGGGAAACCCUGAUCCAGCAAUGCCGCGUGAGUGAAGAAGGCCUUCGGGUUGUAAAACUCUUUCAUCAACGAAGAUAAUGACAUUAAUUGAAGAAGAAGCUCCGGCUAACUCCGUGCCAGCAGCCGCGGUAAUACGGAGGGGGCUAGCGUUGUUCGGAAUCACUGGGCGUAAAGCGUAUGUAGGCGGAUCAAAAAGUUAGAUGUGAAAUCCCUGGGCUCAACCCAGGAACUGCAUUUAAAACUAGUGAUCUAGAAUUUGGUAGAGGUUAGUAGAAUUUCCAGUGUAGAGGUGAAAUUCGUAGAUAUUGGAAAGAAUACCGGUGGCGAAGGCGACUGACUGGGCCAUUUUUGACGCUGAGAUACGAAAGCGUGGGUAGCAAACAGG
This 404-nucleotide ribosomal RNA is filed under the name uncultured bacterium. RNAcentral describes it as "bacterial SSU rRNA". It matches the Rfam family "Bacterial small subunit ribosomal RNA", at positions 355 to 776 of the family's 1533-position model. The record is from RNAcentral.